RNAcentral lists this ribosomal RNA (181 nucleotides) under Enterococcus hirae. RNAcentral describes it as "partial 16S ribosomal RNA". It matches the Rfam family "Bacterial small subunit ribosomal RNA", at positions 1 to 166 of the family's 1533-position model. The record is from RNAcentral. Lineage: Bacteria; Bacillati; Bacillota; Bacilli; Lactobacillales; Enterococcaceae.
UUUUAUGAGAGUUUGAUCCUGGCUCAGGACGAACGCUGGCGGCGUGCCUAAUACAUGCAAGUCGAACGCUUCUUUUUCCACCGGAGCUUGCUCCAUCGGAAAAAGAGGAGUGGCGAACGGGUGAGUAACACGUGGGUAACCUGCCCAUCAGAAGGGGAUAACACUUGGAAACAGGUGCUAA